AUACGGAGGAUGCGAGCGUUAUCCGGAUUUAUUGGGUUUAAAGGGAGCGUAGGUGGGAUAUUAAGUCAGCUGUGAAAGUUUGGGGCUCAACCCUAAAAUUGCAGUUGAUACUGGUUUCCUUGAGUACGGUAUAGGUGGGCGGAAUUCGUGGUGUAGCGGUGAAAUGCUUAGAUAUCACGAAGAACUCCGAUCGCGAAGGCAGCUCACCGGGCCGGAACUGACACUGAUGCUCGAAAGUGCGGGUAUCAAACAGGAUUAGAUACCCUGGUAGUCCGCACAGUAAACGAUGAAUACUCGCUGUUUGCGAUACACUGUAAGCGGCCAAGCGAAAGCGUUAAGUAUUCCACCUGGGGAGUACGCCGGCAACGGUGAAACUCAAAUGAAUUGGCGGGG
This 393-nucleotide ribosomal RNA is filed under the name uncultured bacterium. RNAcentral describes it as "partial 16S ribosomal RNA". It matches the Rfam family "Bacterial small subunit ribosomal RNA", at positions 523 to 918 of the family's 1533-position model. The record is from RNAcentral.